Molecule: long non-coding RNA, 994 nt
Organism: Oncorhynchus tshawytscha (Chinook salmon)
Lineage: Eukaryota; Metazoa; Chordata; Actinopteri; Salmoniformes; Salmonidae
Source: Ensembl
CUCCUGCCCUCUGCUUCCAGAAGAGAGGGAUCAUGCGUCGUCCUGUUCCCUCCUCCUACUCCUCAUUCUGGGGUCUCUGUAGCGGUUUUGCUUCUGAGCAGAGCAUUGGAAGCUGCUCCUCUUUCUUCGGCAUGGUGGACUUUUAGAUCGGAAGCUAUCAGCAAAUCAGAUCUCUGCACUACCAAAUGUCCUGGUGGGAUGCAAGUCUUCGUGGGACUCCUGCUUUCCUCACAGCGCAGCUCGAUUCUCCUUGAAGUUCGAGGACAAUCCAUGAAGAAUCUCUUCAUUCCUUUAGUCUCCAACGUUGUGGCUUGGUGUAUAAUGUGUGAUUCUCUGCAUCUGAAGAUUUGACUGUGUUAAUUCAACCAAACUCAACACCAAGAAUGAAGAAAGAACAAAUGUGACGACAUCUCAGAAGAGUAAAAACAAUCCACUACAGGUCCUCUUCCAAACAGUGGACUGACUCAGAGAGCACCAUUGGACUGACUCAGAGAGCACCAUCGGACUGACUCAGAGAGCACCAUUGAACUGACUCAGAGAGCACCAUUGGGCUGACUCAGAGAGCACCUCCAGGGACUUUUAGACAAAACCGAGAAGUGCAGGACCACUAAAGCCCACGAGAGACAAAGAAACUAGAGACACAUACAGCUGACUGAAGACUGGAGCAAGAUACUAGAGACACAUACAGCCCAGUGAAGACUGGAGCAAGACACUAGAGACACAUACAGCCCAGUGAAGACUGGAGCAAGAUACUAGAGACACAUACAGCCCAGUGAAGACUGGAGCAAGAUACUAGAGACACAUACAGCCCCGUAAAGACUGGAGCAAGAAACUAGAGACACAUACAGCCCCGUAAAGACUGGCGCAAGACACUAGAGACACAUACAGCCCCGUAAAGACUGGUGCAAGGCAGGGAAAUCAGCCCCAGUAGCCCACCACUACUUCCACCAGUACAACCAACGCCAGUACAGCCACUGCCAUGCAGGUGUCGUUU